GUGCUCACUUCAGCAGCACAUGUGCUAAAACUGAACUGAUAAUAUUAGCAUGGCCCAGCCCAAGGAGGACACACACAUUUGUGAAGCGUUCCAUAGUAAG
Molecule: small nuclear RNA, 100 nt
Organism: Fukomys damarensis (Damara mole-rat)
Lineage: Eukaryota; Metazoa; Chordata; Mammalia; Rodentia; Bathyergidae
Source: Ensembl